GAAGAACCAGGAAGUAACACCGGUGUCCUCAAAGAGAUCAGGACAACAUGGAUAAACUAGGAUAUCCACUUGUUAAUUUCUCUAUGGAAUGCAUCAUAUUGUUUAAAUCCAAAUUAGGGACAGACUGAACAUUCUUUGCAAUUCCACCUAUGUGCUGCAGCAGCUGACGGGAAGCCGACUUUGCCACAGCUGAAACCUUCUCUAAAAAGUACACUGAUAGAUCAUCAUUCAAGUUGGUUGAAUCCAGGGCAUCUUGGCAACAUUUCAGAUCUUUUGGCUGGCAGAAGUUGUUAAAAAAAUCAUGCGUCCAAGAAGAGAAAAAGAAUACUGUUGAAUUCACUAUUGAAGUUUAGAAAUGAGAAGAAAGGGAUGAUGUGCUGCAGGGGGAGAGCUGAGAAGGAAUGCCAUUAGAACAGAAAGAGGAAUUUGGAUACAAGUACUGGAAGUCAUAUAGCAAUUUGGGAGCAGGGUUCUUAAACACACAUGCACAUAGACACACAUAUACAACCCUAUUUAGCAACCUGUCGGGAUUUCUCCAUGAGAUUCUUAUUCUCGCAGCUCUCAGGCUAGGCCCCAUUAUAGGAACUGAUCAUAAUUCAUCUACUUCAAGCCUAUUUAUAUGAUUUGCACAAGUUCACAAAAACUUUGCCAAUUUGCCUGUGAAAUGCACAUGUCAAUUACCCUUCAAUGGUUCAACAACCCAGGACCCUGAGCCCACUGGCAUUUCACAGAGCACUGAGAGACUUUGUCUUCAGUCCACCCCAAAGUACCCCAGCCCUGCCAUCAAUAAUAACACAAAUGAGUUUCCUCAGAGUCAGACCAGGAGUGUCAGCAGUGAAUUGUUGGGGAGAUCUGGGAACUCCCCAUGGCUCCAUGGGUGUUCCUGAAUUUCACUCUCCAGGCUAUCACUUUUUCCAAGUUUCUUUAUUGCUCCAUUACCAGGAAAAAAACAGGGUGUUAAAAAGAGCCAGGCUGCUCUCACACCCCAAAUGACCUGUAGCAGAGUCAGCAACAGGCCAAAACAUGCACAAGAGUGAAGACGUUUUUCUUCCCCAGAUUUCUCCCUGCUGCUUGUGAAGUUGGAAGCACUGUUGCUGGCUCAGCGGGAAGAGGCAACAGUUGUCUUGUGCACCUGUGCCCUAAAUCUCCUCUACUGGUGAUGAGCCCUUUACAUCUCCAGGGAUGCAAUUUCCCCUCCCUCAAGUUUCUCCCUUCCAAUAGAACUUGUGUGUAUGAAAGCUGAAUUAACCACAUUCCGACUUCAGGAAUGCAACGGUCUCUUUCAAAAUGUUUCCAAAACAAGGGAGCAAUGGCAGCUAUUAAUCCAAGAACUUAGAUCCAACAAUUCUCUCCAAAAAUACAAAAUAACAAUUUUCAGCCCAGCAAGAAUGUAUGACAAGUAAAUUGAUUUAUGAAAAUGCAUUAGCAUUUUACACAGAAAAAAAUAAAGAUUUCUUAAAGAUAAACUGUAUUACUUGCAAGCUGCUUGCUUUCAGC
Molecule: long non-coding RNA, 1497 nt
Filed under: Homo sapiens (human)
Lineage: Eukaryota; Metazoa; Chordata; Mammalia; Primates; Hominidae
Description: HSALNT0151403
Source: RNAcentral